Molecule: ribosomal RNA, 302 nt
Filed under: Rhantus anisonychus
Lineage: Eukaryota; Metazoa; Arthropoda; Insecta; Coleoptera; Dytiscidae
Description: partial 12S ribosomal RNA
Source: RNAcentral
UUUAAAUGUAAAUUAUUAUAUUAAAGUAGUAAUAGUUAAGUUCUUUAAAUUUAAAGAUUUUGGCGGUAUUUUAGUCUAUUCAGAGGAACCUGUUCUGUAAUUGAUAAUCCACGAUUAAUUUAANUUARUUUAAUAAUUUGUAUAUCGUCGUUUAUAAAUGAUUUUAAAAGAAUUUAAAUUUUUAAGAUUUUUUAUUAAAAAAUAUAUCAGAUCAAGGUGCAGUUUAUAAUUAAGAAGAAAUGGGUUACAAUAAAUUUAUUUAUAUGGAUUAAUAUAUGAAAUUAUAUUAUGAAGGAGGAUUU